GUUUCCUGCUGAAGUCUGCUGCUGGCAGAAAUGCACUGGCUUCAUCUGAUAUUGCAAUGGAAUCUGUACCAGCUCAGGCCAUGGUGACAGGAUGGUUAUUAGCAGAUCUGUCAGCUUUAUGACCUCAACCUGCCCUGGAGCAGCUGCAAGCAUACAACAAUCUUCUUUCUCUUCAGUUAGUCCGAUCAUAUCACCCAGCUAUCUGACUACAGCAGAGGGGAGCUGCGUUGACAUAUCUGAGAGAGCAGUAGUGAUGUGGGUCCCAGCAGGGGUUAAGGAAAGGAAGGUACGAACGAGUGCCUCUUCCAGAAAGGAAGGAAGUUUCUCCAGCUCUAUCCCAAUGGAUCCAUUGAGAGUUCACAUUGCCUUCAGCCGCAGUGGCCCCCACAAGGCGAUGCGAUGGCUGCCCUUUCUCCCCUGUACACAGCUUUGGCCCCUUCACUGCCCUCCCUCCUGUCAGUGACUGCUCAAGCAGUCAAGCAACGAGCCACCAGCCUGGGGAACUAAAACAUGAAAUUUCAGCACUAAAAUUCAAAAUCCGUUUCCUUUUCUUGCUUUACUAUGAGUAAGCCCCAGCUUAAUGCGCAGCUGUAUGAAUGCUGACACAAGGGAUGAGGUGCCAGAGGAUAAGAAUGAAUGGCUAGGGACUGGAAGGCUCUAGCUGUCUCUAUCAAGGAUGCUCAGUGUGCCUGGGAAACUACAGAUCCCCUGUUCCCCUGCUUCUGUGAGCACAAUGAGCAGGAAGAAGUAUAACUGUGUCUGUGGGUCACAGGAAGAAGCACACUGGCCCUGCAGCUCUCUCCAGCUCUGUUCUGAGCAGCUGAAGCUGACUCAGAGCUCCUGAUGCUGGUACUUAGUUUGUCGUUAGGAGUGGGGGUACAGAUGGAUGGAUGGACACUAUGCAUGGGGCUGAAAUAAUCUUUCCAUGGAUUUUAACCCCAUUAUGAUUUUUUAAGGCCAUGCUAUUGUAAAGAAUC
This 977-nucleotide long non-coding RNA is filed under the name Meleagris gallopavo (turkey). Its description in RNAcentral is "lncRNA (ENSMGAG00000021158.1)". Lineage: Eukaryota; Metazoa; Chordata; Aves; Galliformes; Phasianidae. The record is from RNAcentral.